CUCACUUUCCGCUUCCCAGCAUUGGCGGGUUCCGGGACUGGUGGCUGCGGUAGCUCAUUGGCCUUUGGUCUCUUAGACGGUGGAGAAUAAUCAUCAUCUUGAAAAAGAAAAUGGUCAUUACUGGAAGAACCAUCUUACAGUUACAGUCACCUCCUGGUCAAUUCCCAACAUUCAAAAGGUGCUGGGAUUACAGGCGUGAGCCACUGCGCCCAGCUACAACUGACUUUUUUGAUCCCUGGGAGAUGAGUCAACACCAAGGGACGACCAGUCCUAAGCCCUGGACAUGGACCUGGGGGUGAGGACAGAAGGGGAUCAGGACCAGCCCUCUCAUCCUGCACACUGAGGCAUGGGUGAUCCCAGGAAGCCACUCACCAGGCACCAGGGUGGCUUCCUGGAGGAGAGGAUGCUGAAGCCGACCUCAAGAAGUGUCUGUGUUAGGUUUAAGGACUCACAAGACUUCUCUGGCUGGACUAAAGCUGUGCGACCUUGCCAUUGUACUUCUCCAAAGCUAGUGUCUUCACCGCUCUGCAAAAUAUGGCAAAGUCAACGGUAGCUCUCAUCACCACUGGUCACAGCAGAGGGAGCUGUGCCCAGGGAAUCUUUUUGGACAUUGCAAAGAUGAUUUUUCUCUCUUGGGAACGAGUCUGAUCUCUUUAACUCCUUUGUGAAGAUGCCAAAAACAUCUGCAGUGGACACUGCUGGAAUUGCUCAUGAGAUGUAAGCCACGUUUCAGAGAAAAGAGCAAUCUAUCAGAGGAUAUUCCUUCCAGCAACUGAGAACCUUUCAGAGCUUGAUUGCUGUGAAUGCUCCAGCCUUUCCAGUGUUUUACGCCACUCUCAAAUGAGAUAACGAAGCACUUUAAUUUACUGUUCAACUCCCAAACAGAGUGAGUGGGUAAGGCGUCAUCCGCACCCCAGGCCUAAGGAGAUAGAAGGCUGGAACCAGGCUCAGGAGGCCACACUGAACCCAGCAUGUUGUCAAUGGUCCUCAGAUCUAUUUUUUUUUUUUUUUUUUUGAGACAGGGUCUUGCCCUGUCACCCAGGCUAGAGUGCAGUGAUGUGAUCAUAGUUCACUGCAGCCUCAAAAUCCUGGAUUCAAGGGACCCUGCUGCCUCAGCCUCCCGAGUAGCUGGGACUACAGGCACAUACCACCAUGCCUGGCUAGUUUUUUUCAUUUUCUUUAGAGAUGGAGUCUUGCUAUGUUGCCCAGGCUAAUCUUGAAUUCCUGAUCUUAAGCAAUCCACCCACCCUGGCCUCUCAAAGUGCUGGGAUUGCAGGUGUGAGCCACUGUGCCCAGCCUCUUCCUAGCUCUUGGGUCCCUCUUGCAAACUGACCCAUGGGAACAACUUUGCU
RNAcentral lists this long non-coding RNA (1352 nucleotides) under Homo sapiens (human). Its description in RNAcentral is "PREDICTED lncRNA (TCONS_00237720)". The record is from RNAcentral. Lineage: Eukaryota; Metazoa; Chordata; Mammalia; Primates; Hominidae.